ACUUAACCAAACCAGUGAAAUGUUGAACCAGACAAGUUUCAAGAACCAGAGGAUAGACUGGGGAAUCUAUCAAGUCUCAGUGUCUGGCAAACCAAUUCCUGACUCUACAGUCCAGUUCUCUUGAAUUGGGAUAAAGGGAGUCCAAGAUCAUAAAGGUGUUGCCCCGCAUCCUGCACACAGGCCGGCAGUGAGUUCAGCUGAGUCUAGCUCUUGGCAUGAACUCUGGAAGAGUAGACAGCACUCAUUGGAUAGAAGGACACUGCCAAUGCAGAGAGAACUAAAAUUAGACCUACCAGCUGUGUUUUGGUUUUACAGACACGUGUGUGUCUGCUCGAUUCUUGAGCUUGCCGAGUGUUGAAAUAUAUAUGUAAAACUUGUUCUCUGAAGUAUACAAGGGAAGCGUGGAAUUCUUA
Molecule: long non-coding RNA, 413 nt
Organism: Erinaceus europaeus (western European hedgehog)
Lineage: Eukaryota; Metazoa; Chordata; Mammalia; Eulipotyphla; Erinaceidae
Exons: 3
Source: RefSeq, a predicted model, not a curated record